Molecule: small RNA, 28 nt
Filed under: Bombyx mori (domestic silkworm)
Lineage: Eukaryota; Metazoa; Arthropoda; Insecta; Lepidoptera; Bombycidae
Description: ovarian small RNA-34928
Source: RNAcentral
UGGCUCGACGCACAGUCUAUAAGUGUGU